RNAcentral lists this ribosomal RNA (327 nucleotides) under Physarum pseudonotabile. RNAcentral describes it as "bacterial SSU rRNA". It matches the Rfam family "Eukaryotic small subunit ribosomal RNA", at positions 80 to 350 of the family's 1831-position model. The record is from RNAcentral. Lineage: Eukaryota; Evosea; Eumycetozoa; Physariida; Physaraceae.
UCUGAAUCUGCGAACGGCUCCGCAAACCAGUUGUAAACCAUAGCAAGCAUGCUCCGGGUCGGCCGCAAGGUUGGUCUGGGGCUAUAAGGAUAACCCUGGUAAUUCUGAGGCUAAUACAUGAACGUAACCCCCGGCCGAAGGGUAAAACUGGACGUCGGGGGCCGUGCGAGUAGGCGCAAAAGUUUAUUGGGAAUAGUCGCACAGUACGACCGCCAUACCAAACAGUAUCCGCUACGCCUCCUCACGGGGGCCGGUGGUGUCUGGGCGGCUCUUGCAAGGUGCUUCUGACCUAUCAACUAGAUGGCAGCGUAAUGGACAUGCUAUGGU